AGAGUCGUUAAAGUUGAGCACAUA
Molecule: non-coding RNA, 24 nt
Filed under: Arabidopsis thaliana (thale cress)
Lineage: Eukaryota; Viridiplantae; Streptophyta; Magnoliopsida; Brassicales; Brassicaceae
Source: RNAcentral